RNAcentral lists this ribosomal RNA (492 nucleotides) under uncultured bacterium. RNAcentral's name for it is "partial 16S ribosomal RNA". It matches the Rfam family "Bacterial small subunit ribosomal RNA", at positions 29 to 507 of the family's 1533-position model. The record is from RNAcentral.
AGUGAACGCUGGCGGUAGGCCUAACACAUGCAAGUCGAACGGCAGCACAGUAAGAGCUUGCUCUUACGGGUGGCGAGUGGCGGACGGGUGAGGAAUACAUCGGAAUCUACUUUUUCGUGGGGGAUAACGUAGGGAAACUUACGCUAAUACCGCAUACGAUCUACGGGUGAAAGCAGGGGAUCUUCGGACCUUGCGCGACUGAAUGAGCCGAUGUCGGAUUAGCUAGUUGGCGGGGUAAAGGCCCACCAAGGCGACGAUCCGUAGCUGGUCUGAGAGGAUGAUCAGCCACACUGGAACUGAGACACGGUGCAGACUCCUACGGGAGGCAGCAGUGGGGAAUAUUGGACAAUGGGCGCAAGCCUGAUCCAGCCAUACCGCGUGGGUGAAGAAGGCCUUCGGGUUGUAAAGCCCUUUUGUUGGGAAAGAAAAGCAGCAGGUUAAUACCCCGCUGUUCUGACGGUACCCAAAGAAUAAGCACCGGCUAACUUCGUG